UACGUAGGGUGCGAGCGUUGUCCGGAAUUAUUGGGCGUAAAGAGCUCAUAGGCGGUUUGUCACGUCUGCUGUGAAAUCCCGAGGCUCAACCUCGGGCCUGCAGUGGGUACGGGCAGACUGGAGUGCGGUAGGGGAGAAUGGAAUUCCUGGUGUAGCGGUGGAAUGCGCAGAUAUCAGGAGGAACACCGAUGGCGAAGGCAGUUCUCUGGGCCGUAACUGACGCUGAGGAGCGAAAGCGUGGGGAGCGAACAGG
This 253-nucleotide ribosomal RNA is filed under the name uncultured bacterium. RNAcentral describes it as "partial 16S ribosomal RNA". It matches the Rfam family "Bacterial small subunit ribosomal RNA", at positions 524 to 776 of the family's 1533-position model. The record is from RNAcentral.